Molecule: long non-coding RNA, 1645 nt
Filed under: Cricetulus griseus (Chinese hamster)
Lineage: Eukaryota; Metazoa; Chordata; Mammalia; Rodentia; Cricetidae
Description: lncRNA (ENSCGRG00015030853.1)
Source: RNAcentral
CUGCGCCUCGCCCAGCCAGGCCGGCGCCGGAGCUGGGUCAGCGCAGUCAGUGAAAGCAGUGUACCGCCAUCUUUUUUGUGGGCAAAGAGUCCUUCGAGGUUUAUGUUUCCAAAGUAGGCUUCUCAGGAAGCCCAUAGAGAGACGUUCGAAAGAGAAUGGGCUCCUUGCACACUGAAAUACUGAGCCGAAUGGUUGGGGGUCGAAGUGGCAACCCAUGAAACCGAGAAUAAACGAGAGGCCUGCCCUGAGUAAAGUUGCAAAAGUUUCAGUCCAUGGACACUUGCUGCUGGAAGACAUGGGAGAGAGAGUCAAGCUACAGCAGUAAGUUUCCAGAAACUUUUCUUCGUACAAUCUAGUUCUUUAUUGAGAAGAACUAAGUAGAAGAUCAGCAACCCCUGCUUCCUGCUUCUUACAUCGUUUCAGGAAGACCAGCUCCCUGCUUUGAAGUGGGAGAGCUCAGCUAAGAAACAUUCCAGCAGGGCAUUGGUGGUGCACACCUUUAGUUCCGGCAGAGGCAGAGGCAGAGGCAAGUGGAUCUCUGUGAGUUCAAGGCCAGCCUGGUCUACAGAACGAGUUCCAGGACAACCUCUAAAGCAAUACAGAGAAACCCUGUCUCGAAAAACCAAAAAGAAGAAAGAAAAAAAAAUUCUUCCCUGAGGAGCUCCAGGCCAUGAAAGUCUGUGAGGUUUCGUCCAAAGAUGUGUUCACCACUGCCUGGGCCUCUUCUGUUGCAGAGCACCAGAGGAUGGGGAAACUGAGGCAUAGAGAGAUCAGAUCACUGUGCUGGCAUGGCUGCCUCCCAGGAAGAAAGCCAGACUUCAAGCCCUGUGCCUGACUCCAGAACCUGUGCUCUUUGUCCUGUACCACACCACAUCCGGCAUGAAAAUGGAAUGAACACAUCCCCCACAGAUUCUGGCUCUCUGUUACAGUUGGAAUGCCCUUGCCUGACUCCACCAUUGGUUACAAAUGCCACACGAGGGUUAAUACCAGGGAGUGAUCUCACUUAACUAUACAGAAACCCAGUGAGGGAAGAUGGUACGACAGUGUCUCCUCACUGCACAAAGAGUCUCAGCUCUUCACUGCCUUACCCGUGGCCAUCUGCCUAGUGAGCUGCAGAACCACGGUUUGGAACUCAAGCAGCCCAGUGUCAGAAAGUGGGCCCCAAACCAUGUUCCAAAGCUGAUGAUGGGGGCCCAUGUGGAGGCCAUGGUCACCAAAGCAAGCACGUGUUACCCCCUAAAGCCCAGGCUUGGGGGCUGGGUUGGCAACUGACACUGUAAUGGAAAACCAGUGCAAUGGAGAUACGCCUAUCCACUUGCGACCAGCACAAAGGAGGGUGCUCUCAGAAAUUCUGUUACACAAAUAGGUGUCUGACUCAUGUCAGACAAAGCGAAUAUGCUCAUCCAUGAAGGCAUGGCCAUCAGAGGGCAGGACAAAAAAAUGUGAGGAGACUAAUGUUCUCCAGUGUUUACUCUGCCCAGGUCAAACAAGGAGGUGAGGUCCCUCACCUCCUGCAGAGUGUCACAUGGGGAGGAGCCCAGGAAUUCAAAUGCCCUGUGUGCCAGUUAAUUUUCUCAUUGCUAUGACAAAAUACAGGACAAAAGCAUGGGAGGGAAGGAAGAAAGGAAGGAGGAAGGGAAGGAAG